This is a long non-coding RNA of Alexandromys fortis (reed vole), 423 nucleotides long. RefSeq lists it as uncharacterized. The record is from RefSeq and is a predicted model, not a curated record. NCBI's taxonomy places the organism in Eukaryota, Metazoa, Chordata, Mammalia, Rodentia, Cricetidae. The transcript is spliced from 2 exons.
CGGGGAUUCUGUGUAGAAGAAACCGGAACCCGGGACCUGGGACCUGAGACGCGCUGCGGACCGGAAGUGGGGGAGGUGAUGUCGGGAGUGCUGGCGUGGCCUGGGCCACGUCCAGAGAGCUCAAGACAGGGUUUUCACCAAGGUUGUCCUGCCUGCCUAGUAACUGGAGUUACACUGCUGCACCACCAGGCCCAGAGUCUGGUAAAGCUUUUAAAAGGAGACUAUUACCUGCCCUUGGGUCCCAGAAAUCUCAGGCGCCGCCUAGGAGCCACUUGUCACUCACUAUUAAGGCUGCAACAACAAAGUGUGAAUUCGAGCUCUAGAUGGGAAUCUUGGAACCACCACAUUCCACAUGAUGACGUCAGGCAAGUCGUUCAACCUCCCUGAACCUACUGUCUCAUGAAUAAAAUGGUAAUCAUAAUA